RNAcentral lists this ribosomal RNA (153 nucleotides) under uncultured Staphylococcus sp. RNAcentral describes it as "partial 16S ribosomal RNA". It matches the Rfam family "Bacterial small subunit ribosomal RNA", at positions 361 to 506 of the family's 1533-position model. The record is from RNAcentral. Lineage: Bacteria; Bacillati; Bacillota; Bacilli; Caryophanales; Staphylococcaceae.
AUCUUCCGCAAUGGGCGAAAGCCUGACGGAGCAACGCCGCGUGAGUGAUGAAGGUCUUCGGAUCGUAAAACUCUGUUAUCAGGGAAGAACAAAUGUGUAAGUAACUGUGCACAUCUUGACGGUACCUGAUCAGAAAGCCACGGCUAACUACGU